Marmota monax (woodchuck) is the source of this 649-nucleotide long non-coding RNA. RefSeq lists it as uncharacterized. The record is from RefSeq and is a predicted model, not a curated record. Lineage: Eukaryota; Metazoa; Chordata; Mammalia; Rodentia; Sciuridae. The transcript is spliced from 4 exons.
CAAAUUCCUGGCUAAGAUGUUACUCCACUACUGGUUUUCAUGCUUUAUUUCUUGUGAUGUCACAACAAUCCCAUAAAGCAGAAAAAGCAGAUACUAUCACCAUUUUGAGAAUGGAUCAUCAAUGAUUAUUUUUUAGUCUGUGGAAAAUAAGGAGAAAAUCUUAGUCACUUCUUUGUAGUAGGGGCAAGGUUGUAUUAUGGAGAAGUUUUGUUGGAAGUGACAAGUUCAUCAAAAAGUCACUGGGAACGGAGAGAACAUUCCAGUUGCAGGAGACACCAGUGGGGAGAAGAUGACUUGUAUUGAUUCAGCUGGAUGGAGAUGAGUGUCUUGCUGAGUUAUCAAGAAUGGCCUUGAACUUGUGAUCCUCCUGCCACAACCUUCUAGUAGUUGGGAUUAUAGGCAUACAUCGCCACACCUGUAUGGAAAAUCAGUUAUUUUGAAGUCACUGGAAAGUUGCAUUUCCAGAUAGACUGAGCUAAGUGGACUUAAAAGAAGCAUACUACAGGGACACAGCCACAUCAAUGUUUAUAGCAGCACAAGUCACAAUAGGUAAACUGUGGAACUAACCUAGAUGCCCUUCAAUAGAUGAAUAGAUGAAAAAAAUGUGGCAUACAUACAUAAUGGAAUACUACUCAGCAAGAGAAGAGAA